AGAGUUUGAUCCUGGCUCAGGAUGAACGCUGGCGGCGUGCUUAACACAUGCAAGUCGAACGAAGCAUUUUACCGGAACAUUUUCGGAUGGGAAGUUAAAAUGACUGAGUGGCGGACGGGUGAGUAACGCGUGGAUAACCUACCAUAUACAGGGGGACAACAGUUGGAAACGACUGCUAAUACCGCAUAAGCGCACAGUGCCGCAUGGCACGGUGUGAAAAACUCCGGUGGUAUAUGAUGGAUCCGCGUCUGAUUAGCUAGUUGGUGAGGUAAUGGCCCACCAAGGCAACGAUCAGUAGCCGACCUGAGAGGGUGACCGGCCACAUUGGGACUGAGACACGGCCCAAACUCCUACGGGAGGCAGCAGUGGGGAAUAUUGCACAAUGGGCGAAAGCCUGAUGCAGCGACGCCGCGUGAGCGAAGAAGUAUUUCGGUAUGUAAAGCUCUAUCAGCAGGGAAGAAAAUGACGGUACCUGACUAAGAAGCCCCGGCUAACUACGUGCCAGCAGCCGCGGUAAU
This 518-nucleotide ribosomal RNA is filed under the name uncultured bacterium. RNAcentral describes it as "bacterial SSU rRNA". It matches the Rfam family "Bacterial small subunit ribosomal RNA", at positions 8 to 524 of the family's 1533-position model. The record is from RNAcentral.